RNAcentral lists this long non-coding RNA (568 nucleotides) under Nicotiana benthamiana. RNAcentral's name for it is "long non-coding RNA (NBEN_LNC026299)". Lineage: Eukaryota; Viridiplantae; Streptophyta; Magnoliopsida; Solanales; Solanaceae. The record is from RNAcentral.
CAUUGCCGGAUUCUCUUUACUUGUAAUAUCUGAUAUCUGUUGGUUUGCUUAUGUUUCUACAGAGCUCUUUGAUCUUAAAGUUGUUGAAGGUGAAACAAUUAGGGAGUGGCUUUUCUUUGAUAAGCCUCGAAGAGCAUUUGAAAGUGGAAAUAGAAAGCAGAGGUCGUUGCCAGAUUACAAUGGACGGGGUUGGCACGAGUCAAGGAAGCAAAUGAUGAAUGAAUUUGGAGGGCUGAAAAGAUCCUACUACAUGGAUCCACAACCGAUGAAAAAUCUGGAAUGGCAUCUUUACGAGUAUGAGAUCAACAAGUACGAUGCAUGUGCCUUGUACAGAUUGGAACUGAAGCUGGUUGAUGGGAAAAAGAUCCCCAAAGGGAAGAUAACUAAUGUAUCAGUUUCUGAUUUGCAAAAGCAAAUGUGAUGCAUAUGCCUUGUACAGAUUGGAACUGAAACUUGUUGAUGGAAAAAAGAUCUCCAAAGGGAAGGUAACCAAUGUAUCAGUUUCUGAUUUGCAAAAGCAAAUGGGAAGACUUACUGCUGAAUUUCCUUUGGACAACAAGCGUACUGU